GGGGAAUAUUGCGCAAUGGGGGAAACCCUGACGCAGCAACGCCGCGUGAGUGAAGAAGGUCUUCGGAUCGUAAAACUCUGUCAUCGGGGACGAAGGAAGUGACGGUACCCGAAGAGGAAGCCCCGGCUAACUACGUGCCAGCAGCCGCGGUAAUACGUAGGGGGCGAGCGUUGUCCGGAAUUACUGGGCGUAAAGGGUGCGUAGGCGGUAUGUUAAGUCAGGUGUGAAAUACCAUGGCUCAACUGUGGUGUUGCACAUGAAACUGGCAUACUAGAGUGCAGGAGAGGGAAGUGGAAUUCCUAGUGUAGCGGUGAAAUGCGUAGAGAUUAGGAGGAACACCAGUGGCGAAGGCGGCUUCCUGGCCUGUAACUGACGCUGAGGCACGAAAGCGUGGGGAGCGAAC
RNAcentral lists this ribosomal RNA (403 nucleotides) under uncultured bacterium. Its description in RNAcentral is "bacterial SSU rRNA". It matches the Rfam family "Bacterial small subunit ribosomal RNA", at positions 356 to 773 of the family's 1533-position model. The record is from RNAcentral.